Molecule: ribosomal RNA, 451 nt
Filed under: uncultured bacterium
Lineage: Bacteria
Description: bacterial SSU rRNA
Rfam family: Bacterial small subunit ribosomal RNA
Source: RNAcentral
GUGGGGAAUCUUGCGCAAUGGGCGAAAGCCUGACGCAGCAACGCCGCGUGGAGGAUGAAGGUCCUUGGAUUGUAAACUCCUGUCGAGCGGGAAGAAUGGCUCGGGUGCUAAUACCAUCCGGGUUUGACUGUACCGCGAGAGGAAGCCCCGGCUAACUCUGUGCCAGCAGCCGCGGUAAUACAGAGGGGGCGAGCGUUAUUCGGAAUUAUUGGGCGUAAAGGGCGCGUAGGCGGCCCGGUAAGUCGAAGGUGAAAUCCCCGAGCUCAACUUGGGAACUGCCUUCGAUACUGCCAGGCUUGAGUCCGGGAGGGGAGAGUGGAAUUCCCAGUGUAGCGGUGAAAUGCGUAGAUAUUGGGAGGAACACCGGUGGCGAAGGCGGCUCUCUGGACCGGUUCUGACGCUGAGGCGCGAAAGCGUGGGUAGCAAACAGGAUUAGAUACCCCGGUAGUCC